AACUUUUAACAAUGGAUCACUUGGCUCUCGCAUCGAUGAAGAACGCAGCGAUAUGCGAUAAGUAAUGUGAAUUGCAGAAUUCAGUGAAUCAUCGAAUCUUUGAACGCACCUUGCACCCUUUGGUAUUCCGAAGGGUAUGCUCGUUUGAGUGUCAUUGUACUCUCACACUCUCUGAUCCUUUGGAUUCAGGGAGCGGUGGACUUGGGUGUUUGCUGCUUUCCUAGUGGCUCACCUCAAAUGCGUCAGUGCACCUCUUGGUUGGACAUAGUACGGCGUGAUAAGUAUCUUCGCCGGCACCUCGCGAGAGGGUGGCUGAUCGGGAGCUCUGUGCUUUCAAACCGUCUUCGGACAAUCUCUGACAACUUGACCUCAAAUCGAGUAGGACUACCCGCUGAACUUAAGCAUAUCAAUAAGCGGAGGC
This 421-nucleotide unclassified non-coding RNA is filed under the name uncultured Sebacinaceae. Its description in RNAcentral is "sequence contains ITS2". The stretch from base 1 to 154 matches the Rfam family "5.8S ribosomal RNA". The record is from RNAcentral. Lineage: Eukaryota; Fungi; Basidiomycota; Agaricomycetes; Sebacinales; Sebacinaceae.